Molecule: ribosomal RNA, 1836 nt
Filed under: Triticum aestivum (bread wheat)
Lineage: Eukaryota; Viridiplantae; Streptophyta; Magnoliopsida; Poales; Poaceae
Description: partial small subunit ribosomal RNA
Source: RNAcentral
AUGGCGGACGGGGAAACUAUCCCGGAAUUUGCCAGGAAACUCACCACGCUGGUGAGCGAGAUGCGCUCCCUCGGCGUCAUCCUUGGGGAAGAGGCCGUGGUGGAGUGUCUGUUCAGCGCCGUGCCGGAUCGCUUCGCCGACAUCGUCAACACCAUCGAGCAGUGGGGCGACGUCACCACGAUGACGGUGCAGGAGGCCGUCGGACGCCUCACGGUGUUCGAGGAGAACCAGCGGGGGCGCCGCCAGAGCCGUGGUGACAACAGCGAGCAGUUGAUGCUCGUGACCCGCGCGCUGGAAACCCUUAUGAAGGGGAAGAAGUUCAUCCACAACAACGGGGCCUCCAGCUCUGGUGCAAAGAAAGGAGGCGGCCAGAGCGGUGGCCAAGGCGGCGGGCAGGACAAAGGCCGUGGUGAUCGCGGUCAGAACAAUGGAAAGGGCAAGCAGAAAAAGCAUCGUAAGUUUGACAUCUCAAAAGUAAAAUGUUUUAACUGUGAUGUGAAUGGACACUUUGCCUCGGACUGUCCGGAGCCGAAGCGUGAGCGUGCAAACCUGGCGCAGAAGCAAACUAAUGAAGAUCCAGCCUUGCUCAUGACCGAGAGAAAGGUCCUUGCAAAAGUUAGAAGAACACCAAACAGGCUCUACAUACUGAAUAUUGAGCAGUCCGACCCAGUUUGUCUAUUGUCCAAGACUUCAGAGGUUCCCUGGUUGUGGCAUGCACGCUAUGGGCAUAUAAGCUUUCAUGCUUUGAGACUGCUAGCAAAGGAGGCCAUGGUGCGUGGCUUACCAAUGAUUGAUCAGAUUGAUCGUUUGUGUGAGAACUGCUUGGUUGGCAAACAAAGAAGAGCUCCAUUCCCUGCUGAAGCCUCAUACCGAGCAGAUCGAGCACUUCAAUUGCUGCACGGGGACCUUUGUGGUCCUAUCUCCCCUCCAACCUUUGCCGGGAAGAAUUAUUUUCUGCUGCUAGUUGAUGACCACACAAGGUACAUGUGGGUUGUGUUGAUCAGAAGCAAAGAUGAAGCACUUGAGGCAGUUAAGAAGAUAAGAGCAGCAGUAGAGGUUGAACUUAAUCUGAAGGUGAUGGCACUCAGGACAGAUCGUGGAGGGGAAUUCAUGUCAAAGAAUUUUGCUCAAUUAUGUGAAGGCCUUGGGAUCAAGCACUACUUGACGGCGCCAUACUCCCCACAACAGAACGAUGUUGUUGAGAGAAUAAAUCAGACUGUUGUUGGAAUGGCUCGAAGCCUUCUGAAAGCCAAGGGAAUGCCUGGACAAUUUUGGGGGCAUGUGAAGAAAGUUGGACGGCACCUCCCAAAGUUGGGCGACCGGAGUACUGAAAUGGUGUUGAUUGGGUAUGAACCAAAUAGUAAAGCAUACAGACUGUUCGACCCACACAUGAAGAAGCUGUGUGUGUCUCGAGAUGUUGUGUUCGAGGAGGACAGACGCUGGGAAUGGACCACCGACGAUGCUGAGGGGAUCUCGGGGACUUUCUCCGUACAGUAUAAUGUACACCUUGAUGAUGCUUGUCAUGUAGCCCAGCCAAAGCAUACUGUUCACCAUCCGACAAGAACAAGUCUGAAGGAGAACAAGCUGACAGAUGAAGAAAUAGCAGCAGGGCUCAGACCAGAGGACUUUGUUACCCCAGCUAGAAAUGAAGCACCUACUGGACCUCGGUUUGUGUCACCUCCGACCGGUGCCUCGACGCCGACGAGCACCGAGGGACCACGCAGGUAUCGCCUCAUGGAAGAAGUCAUCGAAGAAGCACCAUUUGCAGCUGCUCGUGGGAUGGCACGCGCGAUUGUUGGAUCGUGGCGAGCUUUCAGUUUUUCUGUUAGCGACUGA